This 377-nucleotide long non-coding RNA is filed under the name Malus domestica (apple). RNAcentral's name for it is "long non-coding RNA (MDOM_LNC018938)". Lineage: Eukaryota; Viridiplantae; Streptophyta; Magnoliopsida; Rosales; Rosaceae. The record is from RNAcentral.
UGCCAUAAAAGGACACCGUCACGAUAUCAUCAUGACCCCUUAAUCUGCGAGUUUUGUUCUUUCUCCUGGGUUUGUUAAUAUUCUCUAUCACUCCAUAACUAUUAGCGAUCUUCCCAAUCACUCUCCCCGUUUGAUCUUCCAUUCCACGAGUCUAUAAAUACCCGGCCUUCUAUGAUUCAAUCUUUACGUUUUCAAAUUUUCCAAACUCUCUCUUGUUCAAAAAUUAAAAGAAAACCCCCUGACUUUCUCCCAAAAAACCUUCAAAACCAUUUCCAAUGGCCUCCUUCAUCUCCAAGCUUUCUAAGGAAUGUGACAAAUGCGAGACAAUCAUCGAUUAGCACUCAAUCAAGACUCUACGCUUUAAGAACGACAUGAGC